This 1144-nucleotide long non-coding RNA is filed under the name Equus caballus (horse). RNAcentral's name for it is "lncRNA (ENSECAG00000054611.1)". The record is from RNAcentral. Lineage: Eukaryota; Metazoa; Chordata; Mammalia; Perissodactyla; Equidae.
CAACACCAUAUUUGUUGUAAAGGAUAUGGAUCUAUAGCUUUCUCUCUUUUGUAGUGUUCUGACUAGGUACACUUGGUGAUUCUUCUGCUAAAAUAAAAUUAGUUCUUGGAGGAAGUACAACUCGUAUAAUAUUUAGUUCAUUUCCUUGCACGUUAGAAAGCAAGUUAAUCACUAAGGGCUGUUACAAAUGAAAGUGAGUUAAACUCACCGUAGUUGAGAAACAGGGAAAGGCUGUGAUUCUGAGACGAAGUUAUGGAUACCAGGCAAAGUAACGAAGCUGAACCUGACUCCUGCAUAAAACCAGGAAUCCUUUAACAUGUGAAAGUGGCCCCGGGUAGGUGGACUCUAAAAAGUGAAUGAAAAUCCUCUCUGAAGGAAACUCUCUCUAAUUAAUGCUUCUAGAUUAACUAAUCAAACACCCAAGGAAAUAAGCCAUUUUGAUUGAGAAACAGAAGAUUUGUACACUCAAGGAAUUCAGAUAUUAGGAUUGGCAGAAGUGGAAUACCAAUUAUAAAAUGCUUAAAGAAAUAACUAUGAAUUUAAAUGAAAGUGAAAUAAGAGAUAUGUACAAAGAAAAGGCAGAUAUUAAAAGAACCAAGUAGAAAUUAAAGUAUGAAAUAUAAUAAUUGAAAUAUAUAACUCAAUGGUUUAAGAGCAGAUUAAUGACAACUAAAGGAAUCAUUUGUUGACUACGAAAAUAACACAUAUGCAGCAAAGACAGUGAAACAGCAAAUAUGAAUGACAGAUUAUGAGACGCUGAAGGAUAGAAUGACAAGAUCUAAUAUGUGUGUAAUUGUGGUCUCAGAGAGCAGGAAAAACGAAGGAGAUGAUUGCUGAGAAAUUUCCAGAACGAAUCAAAAACAUGAAUCCACAUAUACAAAAAACAAAACCUAUAUCAAACAGGAUAAGUAAAAGGACGCCAAUGUAGUUUCCUUAUAAGGAAACUGCAGAACAGCAACGACAGAGAGAUCUUAAAAGCAGCCAGAAUAACUAAACAUCUGCCUACAGAGGAAUGACAAAUUGACAGAAGACUUUUCAGUACCAAAAACUGAAGUCAAAAGAUAGUGGAAUAACAUCAUUAAGGUGUUAAGUGAAAGUAAUUGUCAUCCUGGAAUGAGUGAAGUUAUCUUUCAAGAACAAGGGC